CGGCAGAGGUGGGAGCCGGGGCGCUGCCGAGCGAAAGGCGCAGGAGGCGGCCGCGCAGGGCACCUGUUUCCACGAGUCCAACUUCUGAGCGCGAGGCGCCGGCUUUGCUCGAGCGUCUGCUUAGCUGAAAGGCAAACCCCCGUCUUUCGCGGGGAGGGGGAAGUAGCAGGAGCUGCUGAUGCAUCAGGAGGAGGUGGAGGAGGAAAUCAAGCCGGGAGGCAUCGUGUUCCUUUUGAAAGCGUUUCUGAGUGGGCUCCGGGAGGUAAUUGCUGAGAAAAGCCCUGCUGGAAAAUGGCUGUGAUUUUUAAUCUAUUCAAAUACCUAAAAUCCACAUGAUUGGACUAGCAGAGUGACUGGGACGUCAAGUGGAUGGUGGUUUUGCUCCUUCAUGCAUAGUCAACACGUAAUUCACCUGCUACGCCUAUACAAGGAUGGAUGAUUUAACUUCAGAUAGUUGUGAUUUAUUAAGACUCAGCCCACUUCUGCAGACUUUACUCCAGCUGAGUAAUGCUCAUUUCCGCCACUAUUCCACUGGUUUUAAUGAGAUUACUGGUGUAGUAAGGGAUUGUUCGAUGUGAGUAAAAUUGGCAGAAUCAGGGUCAGAUUAAGGCAAUCCCCAGACUCACCGCCAUAUGGGCUCCCUUUAGUCCGAUCCCUGCCAUAGCCUUGAACUCCACACCAUCGCACCACCUGGGGUGCUGGUCCUCAAAUGCAAUCUUCUGGGGUGGGGUGGGGUCUACCACCAUUUCCUUUUGAGUAGGCUAGGCCACCCCUGGUCUCCUCCCUACUCCUUGUCUCCAGGUGAUCUUGGGUCCAUCCAAGAGGAGAAAGGACUCAUCCUCCCCCCACCUGACUGCAGGACUCCCUAUGUACCCGGCACCACCCAAACAAAACCAGGAUGGGAUGGCAGCAGCAAGAGACCUCUACCAAUGUGAUGUAGGUGUGCUUCUCCUAAUCAACCCAUAUGCAGGAACCCCAUCUCCAAGGAGAUAGUAACUCUCCCAACCAUUCUUAUACCAAGGGGUGAGGCAAUGGUCCUGACCCUGCAAUCCAAUCUACAUGCACCAUCUUUUUGCCUGUUCAGAGCCCUCUUCAAUGGGAUUCUGCCCAGGUGCAAGGAUCCAUUCAAGUGCAGAUUGUAUAAUCCUAGUUUUUGUACUAACUCAUCCACUGCAACUGACCUGAUACACACAAUACUUUAAAAUGUUAACAUGUAUUUUUAAAAGUGUCUAAAUUUGUAUUUGUGCAGUCACACAUGUCAAUUAAAUUUUCCACUUUUAGAGCAGUGAAAAUAAAGAUAAAAGUAAAUCUGUUGUUAAAUAAAAAUGGCGGGGGGGGGGAGAAGAGAAAUUUAUUUAAUGCUGUAUUACAAGUCUUAUGUCAAAAGCAGAGGAUAUGUCUGCUUAGGCUAGGGUGACCAGAUAGGGACAGUCCCGAUAUUUGGGGCAUUUUCUUCUAUAGGCGCCUAUUACCCCACACCCCCGUCCCGAUUUUUCACACUUGCUGUCUGGUUACCCUAGCUUAGGCCCUGAUGCGGCAAACACUUAUGUACAUGCUUAAUUUUACUACCACAAGUGACUUCAAUGGGACUACUUCCAGUAGUAAAUUUCAGUAGUAAAAUAGAAGUUUUUGUUAGGAUUGAGGCUAUAGAAUGUAAGAUGUCUGAAGAAGGGGCAGUCUUUUGUUGUGUUCAUAGAGUGCUCAGCACAAUGGUCCCCUGAUGCUUGACUGGUGUUUUAGGUGCUACUGCAAUACAAAUGAUUAAUAAUAACAAUAAUGAUGCAAAAGAGAAUUAAGGUACUCUUUAGACCUACUGGACCAAUGUGACACUCAGCUUUAGGGUGACAGAAUUAGGCUCUGGAUAGGCACUGCAUGGCUGGUCUGUUCAGCACCUUAGUAACUCUUUAGACAAACACUCUCUCAGUUUUUAUCUGCUGGAGUGUAAAUUAUCCUUCACUUUUUAUACCUUAAUUUUAUUUUAUUUUAUUUUUAUUUUUCCUGAGUGAAGCAAUACAAAUCAAGAGGCUGUCACUGAGCAUCUGUAUUAUUUACAUGGGGCCAAUCUGCACACUGGCUCUCAGUGAUGGAUUGCUGAAUAUAUGUGGAUUUCCCAGAAAUUUCAGAGAACGCUGAUGGGGUAUAUAAGCCCUGCACCUUGUUCAAUGACAAGUUAAAAUAUUUCCCUGGAGUAAGAGAAGGAACUUGUUCUUCCAAAGAUAUUGUUUCAGAUUCCAGCAACAGAAACAAGUUAUUCUAAGAGAUGGAGUAAUAAGGCUAAUGGAGAUAGAUCCCAGCUAAUUUGCCUAUUUUGGGGCUAUUAAACAUACCCAGAGGAAGUAUGUGAAAAGUGUAGUAUUUCUUUCAAGCAAGGAAAGCUUGCCCAUGUUUUGGCAAGAUUCAGUUAGGAAUUUACUUCAAGAAAUACAUUUCUUAUUCUCUUUCCUCCAAAUGUCUUUGAGAACCUGAUUCUGCCAUCCAUACCUGCACUGAGUGAUAGCUUAUUCUGCAAAGUUUAUGGGUCAGAUUCUGAUGUCCUUAGGUUGGGUAGCACCCCAAGUUUAGUAGGACUAGCAUGAGUAACAAUACUGAAAUCUGCUACCAAAUUGAUGGUGCACAUGGGACUAUUUGUGUAGUAAGCUACCACUCAGUACAAGUACUGAGGAGCAGAGUCUACCCCAAAGUAAAGAGGUCCAACUGGUCAGUGACAUUUCUGAUUUAAUUCUUGGCCUACGUUCAGUUCUUCUCUUUCCUCCCCAUCCCCUCACCACUCAAUUCAUCUUUUCCUCCUUCAAUGUAUUUUAAAGUAUUAUUUUAAUGACAAAUGUCAUCUUACCCUUUGGAUAUGUCUUAAAUCCAUGAUCACUUAAUAUGAUAUGAACUAAUUUUUGAGGAUUAAACAUUUUAAUCUUGA
Molecule: long non-coding RNA, 2911 nt
Organism: Caretta caretta (loggerhead turtle)
Lineage: Eukaryota; Metazoa; Chordata; Testudines; Cheloniidae
Source: RefSeq, a predicted model, not a curated record